Molecule: long non-coding RNA, 584 nt
Organism: Zea mays
Lineage: Eukaryota; Viridiplantae; Streptophyta; Magnoliopsida; Poales; Poaceae
Exons: 2
Source: RefSeq, a predicted model, not a curated record
CCUUACCCGCGUGAGUUUUUGCGUGUUUCUUGCUGGCCUGUGUUUUGUUGUGCAGUGAAGGACGGCGUGGACGGGAUGAUCGAGUACGGCGCCAACGCGCGAGCCCUCCGCCGGGCUCUACUUCGUCCAGCAGCACGCCCGGGACCACUCCAUGCCCCUGCUAGUUCCUCGACGCCUGGCCCUGUCCUGCAUGCCUUCCUCUCCCCCCUUGCUUUUCUUCCUUUCCCCUGCUUGUGCAUGCUGGAGCUGCUUUAGCUAGAGCCGGAGCUCUAUCAAACGGGAGGUAAGGAUGUACUACCACCUGAAUUAAGUCAAAUACAAGUUUCUGGAAGAAACAAAGCAAUGCUUCUCUUGUUGUUGCUGCUGCUGCUUGUAAUCUGCUGAAUCGUCUGAUGAUGUGGUCAGCUAUUGGUAGCUGCUCGCGGAGAAGACACGCUGAUUUCGGACCUCCCCUUGCCGAUGACAUGAUAAGGACAUAUAUAGAUCGCUGCAAAUAACGUCGAAGGCCCAGCCAAAGAGAGGGUCGUAUCGUACUGCAGAUACACUAAUUCUUGGCUGUAAUUUGUGAGAUCGUUUUUGUCACU